RNAcentral lists this ribosomal RNA (486 nucleotides) under uncultured bacterium. Its description in RNAcentral is "partial 16S ribosomal RNA". It matches the Rfam family "Bacterial small subunit ribosomal RNA", at positions 28 to 523 of the family's 1533-position model. The record is from RNAcentral.
GAUGAACGCUGGCGGCGUGCUUAACACAUGCAAGUCGAACGGAAAGGCCCCAGCUUGCUGGGGUACUCGAGUGGCGAACGGGUGAGUAACACGUGGGUGAUCUGCCCUGCACUUUGGGAUAAGCUUGGGAAACUGGGUCUAAUACCGAAUAUGACCACUUCUUGGAUGUUGUGGUGGAAAGCUUUUGCGGUGUGGGAUGAGCCCGCGGCCUAUCAGCUUGUUGGUGGGGUAAUGGCCUACCAAGGCGGCGACGGGUAUCCGGCCUGAGAGGGUGUACGGACACAUUGGGACUGAGAUACAGCCCAGACUCCUACGGGAGGCAGCAGUGGGGAAUAUUGCACAAUGGGCGCAAGCCUGAUGCAGCGACGCCGCGUGGGGGAUGAAGGCCUUCGGGUUGUAAACUCCUUUCGCUAUCGACGAAGCCACUUGUGGUGACGGUAGGUAGAUAAGAAGCACCGGCUAACUACGUGCCAGCCGCCGCGGUAA